GGGCGGCGGUGGCGCCGGCGGCGGGACAGCUCGCUUCCCCACCCCAGCCUGGGCACUCCUGUUCGACUGAGACCAGGAUUAUUCCCACCUCCCAAGAGCAGAGAGGGCUCAGAUGCACAGCCUCUGCCUUCGUGGAGUGGGCAUUUUCAGGGCUCACACAGUCGACAAAAGAAAACGUUUUUCUUGGGAGAUGGGCAGAAGCUGAAGGACUGGCAUGACAAGGAGGCCAUCCAGAGGGACGCUCAGCGCGUAGGAAAUGGAGAACAAGGAAGACCUUACCCCAUGACCGAUGCUGAGAGAGUGGAUCAGGCAUACCGAGAAAAUGGAUUUAACAUCUACGUCAGUGAUAAAAUCUCCUUGAAUCGCUCUCUCCCAGAUAUCCGGCACCCAAACUGCAACAGCAAGCGCUACCUGGAGACACUUCCCAACACAAGCAUCAUCAUCCCCUUCCACAACGAGGGCUGGUCCUCCCUCCUCCGCACCGUCCACAGUGUGCUCAACCGCUCGCCUCCAGAGCUGGUCGCCGAGAUUGUGCUGGUCGACGACUUCAGUGAUCGAGAGCACCUGAAGAAGCCUCUUGAAGACUACAUGGCCCUUUUCCCCAGUGUGAGGAUUCUUCGAACCAAGAAACGGGAAGGGCUGAUAAGGACCCGAAUGCUGGGGGCCUCAGUGGCAACUGGGGAUGUCAUCACAUUCUUGGAUU
Molecule: small RNA, 703 nt
Filed under: Pan troglodytes (chimpanzee)
Lineage: Eukaryota; Metazoa; Chordata; Mammalia; Primates; Hominidae
Description: processed transcript
Source: RNAcentral